GACGAACGCUGGCGGCGUGCUUAACACAUGCAAGUCGAACGAUGAAGCCCAGCUUGCUGGGUGGAUUAGUGGCGAACGGGUGAGUAACACGUGGGCAACCUGCCCCAAACUCUGGGAUAACUCCUCGAAAGAGGUGCUAAUACCGGAUACGAACUAGACAGACAUCUGUACUAGUUGGAAAGUUUUUCGGUUUGGGAUGGGCCCGCGGCCUAUCAGCUUGUUGGUGAGGUAACGGCUCACCAAGGCUACGACGGGUAACCGGCCUGAGAGGGGGACCGGUCACACGGGGACUGAGACACGGCCCAGACUCCUACGGGAGGCAGCAGUGGGGAAUAUUGCGCAAUGGGCGAAAGCCUGACGCAGCGACGCCGCGUGAGGGAUGAAGGUCUUCGGAUCGUAAACCUCUUUCAGUAGGGACGAAGCGAAAGUGACGGUACCUAAAGAAGAAGCACCGGCUAACUACGUGCCAGCCGCCGCGGUAA
This 482-nucleotide ribosomal RNA is filed under the name uncultured bacterium. Its description in RNAcentral is "partial 16S ribosomal RNA". It matches the Rfam family "Bacterial small subunit ribosomal RNA", at positions 28 to 523 of the family's 1533-position model. The record is from RNAcentral.